This 218-nucleotide long non-coding RNA is filed under the name Prunus dulcis (almond). RNAcentral's name for it is "sRNA ncRNA". The record is from RNAcentral. Lineage: Eukaryota; Viridiplantae; Streptophyta; Magnoliopsida; Rosales; Rosaceae.
AAAAUUUUCAAAAAUCCUUCCAACACCUAAUCGCUUAGUUAAAUUGGUGAAGAUUAGUGGGAGUUAGAAGCUUUGAUUUUUCUUCGCUCCAUUUUUCGCUGCCUCCAUUUUCUUGUUCUUGUACUUACGAAUUUUAAAUAAUUAUAAAUCCUGAUUUGUGUAAAUUGCCUAUUGCCAGGUAAUUGUUCAACCCAGAAGAUUUGAUAGAAAGACCCAAU